GAUGAACGCUGGCGGCGUGCCUAAUACAUGCAAGCCGAGCGAACGGACGAGAAGCUUGCUUUUCUGAUGUUAGCGGCGGACGGGUGAGUAACACGUGGAUAACCUACCUAUAAGACUGGGAUAACUUCGGGAAACCGGAGCUAAUACCGGAUAAUAUUUUGAACCGCAUGGUUCAAAAGUGAAAGACGGUCUUGCUGUCACUUAUAGAUGGAUCCGCGCUGCAUUAGCUAGUUGGUAAGGUAACGGCUUACCAAGGCAACGAUGCAUAGCCGACCUGAGAGGGUGAUCGGCCACACUGGAACUGAGACACGGUCCAGACUCCUACGGGAGGCAGCAGUAGGGAAUCUUCCGCAAAGGGCGAAAGCCUGACGGAGCAACGCCGCGUGAGUGAUGAAGGUCUUCGGAUCGUAAAACUCUGUUAUUAGGGAAGAACAUAUGUGUAAGUAACUGCGCACAUCUUGACGGUACCUAAUCAGAAAGCCACGGAUAACUACGUG
RNAcentral lists this ribosomal RNA (497 nucleotides) under uncultured bacterium. Its description in RNAcentral is "partial 16S ribosomal RNA". It matches the Rfam family "Bacterial small subunit ribosomal RNA", at positions 28 to 507 of the family's 1533-position model. The record is from RNAcentral.